This 822-nucleotide ribosomal RNA is filed under the name uncultured bacterium. RNAcentral describes it as "bacterial SSU rRNA". It matches the Rfam family "Bacterial small subunit ribosomal RNA", at positions 53 to 870 of the family's 1533-position model. The record is from RNAcentral.
ACAUGCAGUCGGACGGGAUCCGGGGGUAGCUUGCUACCUUCGGUGAGAGUGGCGCACGGGUGUGUAACGCGUGAGCAACCUACCCAUAUCAGGGGGAUAGCCCGGAGAAAUCCGGAUUAACACCGCAUGCAACCAAUGGACGGCAUCGUUCGUUGGUUAAAUAUUCAUAGGAUAUGGAUGGGCUCGCGUGACAUUAGCUAGUUGGUGGGGUAACGGCCCACCAAGGCGACGAUGUCUAGGGGCUCUGAGAGGAGAAUCCCCCACACUGGUACUGAGACACGGACCAGACUCCUACGGGAGGCAGCAGUAAGGAAUAUUGGUCAAUGGGGGCAACCCUGAACCAGCCAUGCCGCGUGCAGGACGACUGCCCUAUGGGUUGUAAACUGCUUUUGUCGGGGAAUAAACCCCACUACGUGUAGUGGGCUGAAUGUACCCGAAGAAUAAGGAUCGGCUAACUCCGUGCCAGCAGCCGCGGUAAUACGGAGGAUCCGAGCGUUAUCCGGAUUUAUUGGGUUUAAAGGGUGCGUAGGCGGCACUUUAAGUCAGGGGUGAAAGACGGCAGCUCAUCUGUCGCAGUGUCCUUGAUACUGAAGUGCUUGGAUGCCGAUGAAGACAGCAGAAUGAGAACAGUAGCGGUGAAAUGCAUAGAUAUGUCUCAGAACACCGAUUGCGGAAGCAGCUGUCUAAGCCGAUAUUGACGCUGAUGCACGAAAGUCGUGAGGAUCCAACAAGAUUAUAUACCCUGGUAGUCCGCGCCCUAAACGAUGAUAACUCGAUGUUUGCCAUAUACCGUAGCCGUCCAACGGAAACGUUUAAUAUUCC